AAGCGGUCGGUAGAGUCAGUUUGUUGCGAAGUAUUUUCAUAUUUUUCUGAGCAAACUGGCUCUUGUUAAAUUAAAUAAUUCAUUCAAAUUGUAAUUCGCGAAAUUAGAAUCAGUGAGUUCGUCGAUUGUUACUUAAACACGUUGACAGUCUUUUAUUUUUCUUUUUUUGUAUUCUUUCUUGUGCAAUAUUCGUUUUCGGUAUUAGAGUCAGUGCUCAAGAGGAUAAGGCCUCUCCAGGAGAUCAAAAUCAUCUUCUACAAUCUCCACUUCCCCUAAUCUUCCAAGAAUCAUAUGACGUUUCAAAAGCUAAAAAUAAAUUUUUCACGGCGUUCACCAUGGGAUUUUCAGUGGUAUCUACUUGAUGAGAGUCUUCACGAUAACUUUCCCUGCUUCAGUACAGCAUCGAUGACAAUGUUUUUCACAUCUAUCGUGUGAGUCGCAUGCAUUCAUGUUCCUCCGGUCACUCAACCAUGUCGUAGGAUGAAAGAUCCGAAUCGGCACGGGUGACUGGUUGUAUACGUAGAAUUUUUGAUGAGCAUAGUGACCGCGGGUAUUUUUUGUACCCGUGAGUAGUAACAAUU
Molecule: long non-coding RNA, 581 nt
Organism: Frieseomelitta varia
Lineage: Eukaryota; Metazoa; Arthropoda; Insecta; Hymenoptera; Apidae
Exons: 3
Source: RefSeq, a predicted model, not a curated record